This 119-nucleotide small RNA is filed under the name Leuconostoc mesenteroides. Its description in RNAcentral is "L10_leader". It matches the Rfam family "Ribosomal protein L10 leader". From Rfam's summary of the family: This family is a putative r-protein leader autoregulatory structure found in B. subtilis and other low-GC Gram-positive bacteria. It is located in the 5' untranslated regions of mRNAs encoding ribosomal proteins L10 and L12 (rplJ-rplL). A Rho-independent transcription terminator structure that is probably involved in regulation is included at the 3' end. The record is from RNAcentral. Lineage: Bacteria; Bacillati; Bacillota; Bacilli; Lactobacillales; Lactobacillaceae.
GUAAUUGAAUCCAUUUUGCCUAAGACUCAGGUGAUGCUUGCAUCUUAAUAUCCUGCCGAGGAAGUUUAAAAAAACUUUUCCCGUGUGUCUUCUAGCGCACGGGAUUUCUUUUGCAAAAU